Molecule: long non-coding RNA, 1357 nt
Filed under: Callithrix jacchus (white-tufted-ear marmoset)
Lineage: Eukaryota; Metazoa; Chordata; Mammalia; Primates; Cebidae
Description: lncRNA (ENSCJAG00000071273.1)
Source: RNAcentral
GAUAUGCUCCUCUCUUUAUUUGUCAAAAUCUAAUAUAUUUUUGAGGGAAGUAAAUUAGAUUAAUCUGGUCAGGCCAUCUGCUUUAUUUGUAUUACCUAGAGGCCAGAGUAGUUGAAAAACAUGAUUAAUAAACAAAAUGAAACUGAGGUUGUGACAUAAGGAAGUUCAUGUGACCCAAGAGGCUGGGAAGGAGGAAAUUCACUGCUAGAAUACACUGUGAAAGGAUAUGAUAAUCCUGGUUCAAAAGAAACAGAACUGUUACUAAGAAGGGUAGAGAAGAGCAGUAUGGUGAAGAUAAAUUCCUUCAUGAAAGUCUGUAGAAUUGUGGAGCGUAUGUAUGUGAGGCUAAAAGGAGAUUAGAAACAAAAUUAGGCAGUAUCUCGCGGUGGUUACCAGGCUGAACUUUAAAGCUGAUUGCCUGAGCUCCUAUCUUGAACUUGUCACUUAUACCUCUGGAACCCUGGACAACUUAUUUAAUCUCUUUUUCCUUCGAAUUCCUCGUCUGUAGAAUGUGAGUGAUACCUACCUCAUAGGGUUAUUGUGAGAAUCAAAUAAAAUUAAAUACUAAAUCUCCAGACAUAAAGAAGGUGCUCACUAAACAUGAACUAUUAUCACUGUAUAAGAGUAUUAGAGAGGACUUGACCAGCGAAAGUGAAUAGAUAAUAGUCACCUGGUGCCAAUGACAAAGUUGGACUUUAGGUGCACAUUUAACUGAAAAUCUAAUUUCUUGAAAGCUGAGCAUUUGAUAAGAUCUUGUUUUAUCUCACUGAUUAUUUUCAUCCAGGAAAAGGCGGAGAAAGUUAUUAGGGAAAUUGGUACUGUUGGCCUAUACAUUUUCAUAUUGUCUGGAGGAAAAACAAUACAGAGCAAUGUACCAAAAGAAACCAGUGUAACUUCCCAGGAAAGAACUGAUGAGAUCAGUUUUAAAUUGGUGAGACACAAGAAGAAAGGCUAUCUACUUGAAUAUUACAGUGAUACUGACUGUCAGAAUAACGUCAAAGGCUGGCGUGCAGUGGUGUGAUCUCAGCUCGCUGAAACCUUGGCCUCUCAGGUUCAAGCAAUAAUUACAAUCUUUAUUCAGAGAAAGUCUUACUCUCUGUGAUCAACAAACUGCCGAUGAGACUGGAAGUCUUGAAACAAAUCUUGUUCUACAUAAUAUAAGUGGCUGGAAAUUUGGAUUAAGUUGCAGAUAUGGAGCACUUUUUCAUGCAGAACCUGUACGAUGAUCCUGGUGAGGAUGCCCCAAUACAAUCCAAACAGGCUCUUAAAUAAAAGAGCCUGACUUUUAAUGUCGAAAUUCUUGCAUUGUAUUAAAAUGCACACACUAUUCUUAAUAUAUUACCCUUAUGUCAAAAAG